AGAACACAAGAAAAGAAUCGGGCGGGGAAUACAUAGUGGGACAAAACCUUUCAUAGAAAAUCUGAUAAAAUAUAAAAAAAAAAAAUAGCCAUCAACUAGCAAUAACUAAUGGUUGUGACCUUAAAACCUAUGCUGCUUCUUCUACCUCUAGCACGCUCAAAUUUCUUACCCUUGGCUCGCACAUUCGGCUUGGUGUGGCUCUGUGGAACACUAGGAGUUGGACCAAAGUGCUUCGCUGCCUCACGAGACUUCUCGGGUCCUCUAAGAAGUACCUGCAUCAAAAUAGCAUAGUUAGCUAUUUUGGGUUUCAUAACAACACAAGGUUUUUGUAGCACAAACAGAAAAGGCAAAAUUUACCAGCAGAAUCAUAGUUAUAAGCAAGACCAAAAUAGUUGAACAUUGAGCACAAAAAAAUAAAAAAAAUAAAAAAAAAUUCUUUGACAAAGCAAUUUUUGUGAGUAACAGAAUCCAUAUCAAACCUUAAAUAUUAGUUCAAAGGAAACAAUGAAUCAAACUAUCAAAGUAGUGAACACAACAAUCAUUGCAUAAUUGAAAUCACUGACAAAAUAAUAUUCAUGUUAUUGGUUAAAAAUCUCAUUUCCACCGUUCUAUACUACCAACUAUGUCAAACUCUAGAAACAAUAAAAUUAUCAAGAAAAAGAAAUUAACGAAAAAAGAUUGGAAUAUUCACUACCAUGUUUUUGCCCAAGGGGAGCUCUGAGCUAGCUGAUCAAAAGUUAAGCAUUCUCCUCCUGCCUUCUCAAUUCUUGCCCUUGCUUUCUCUGUGAAUCUCAAAGCCGUGACCUUCACUGUGAGGACUUCAUAAGCUCGAAUAUCAUCAGUGACACAGUCCCAACAAGCACUGCAUUUUUGUCUUCCUUUCCCUUCACGAAGUGAUGAGACAAGAGAGAAAGCAGGGCCUUGUUAACCUUGCUCAUGAACAGUCUCUUCAAUAUAACUGCAUUGAACUUGCUUCCAGUUCUCCUCACGAGGAAUCGACACAGCUUGACGAGAAGUUGGAGGUAAAUAUCAUUGGAUUUAGGAGUAGUGCGCUUGGUUUUCUUGCUUUCACCUCCGACGACCAAAUCAAUACCCGUGGCUACUGUUGGUGGUGGUGGUGCUUUCCGUCGCGCCUUCGGUGAUAAAUUUCAACAAAAAUGUCUGCAAUAGAGGCUUGUUUCUCAAGGUUUUUUGAUUGCAGGGGUUUUAGAUUUGGGUGUUUUUUUUCGUGAGUCUUGAACGUAAUUAAUACGGUAAUAAUAGUUUUAAAUUAGUUUUAAGGUAUUAAUCAAAUAUUUAAAAUUUUUAGGG
RNAcentral lists this long non-coding RNA (1311 nucleotides) under Olea europaea subsp. europaea. Lineage: Eukaryota; Viridiplantae; Streptophyta; Magnoliopsida; Lamiales; Oleaceae. The record is from RNAcentral.